AGAUAAUGAGUGGGCAGGACAUGCCGAGAGAUGAAUUUGUAUUGGUCUACCAUAUAGCAUGCAUCAGUCUAUUGGAGCUGGUCAGUAUGUUUAGGUAAUCAUGUCGAAUGAGGCUUUAAAAAAAAAACAUGUAUUGCUUAGUUAAACUGAAUAAACCAAAUGUCAAGUUAAAGUGUACUGUUAGCUAGAUAACAUUAGCUGGCUGGCUCGCUAGCUAACGUUAUGUGUAUGCUCUCCACUUUCUGGAGGACCGAGUUUUGAAAUCAGUAGAAUUCGAGUAUGAUAGCUAAGGAGACGGAGAAAACACCAGUCUGGAUUACAUCGUCAAACAAGGCAACCAUGCAUGGCAUCAGACAGGAGACGCUUCCAACCAUGAUGUAUACUGUCUAUCUUUCUGUCUAUCUGUCUCUCUGAUUUCUUAGCUCCACACAUCGUAACAGAAAUGAAAAAAGAGAUCCUCUGUGAGUGUUGUUACCUGUUUCUCGGCUGAGCCCGCGUUCCCAGGGUCCUGUUAUCCAUCCGCCCGCUCCAGACGCCACCACCCUGUACAGGUACUCUACACAGGGACACACGCACGCACACAAACACACACACACACACAAAGCACAUAUUUGCAUGUCUAUUUUCAAGGUUACACACAGAAACAGGGGACCUAAGAACAGACAGUGAGGCUAUGCAACAGCAGGCAGAAACACAGACGCCUAUAUGUGUGACAAUAGCUGAAUCUCCACUGUAUAUUCUGUUCCAGCGGACAAAGGCAGGACAGCAGAAACACAGACAGACACACGGACAGACAGACAGAGAGGUGGACAAAGGCAGGACAGCAGAAACACAGACAGACACACGGACAGACAGACAGUGAGAUGGACAAAGGCAGACAGACGGAGAGAUGGACAAAGGCAGACAGACGGAGAGAUGGACAAAGGCAGACAGACUGAGAGAUGGACAAAGGCAGACAGACGGAGAGAUGGACAAAGGCAGACAGAUGGAGAGAUGGACAAAGGCAGACAGACAGAGAGACAGGGAUAGCUAGGCCUAUAGAAAAUGAUCUGUCUACAGUUGCGGUCAAAUAUAUUGGCACCCUUGCACGAGUCCCUAUUUCUUCUAAAAUAAGUUGAAAUUUAAAAAAACAUUUGAAUGUUCAUGUGUUUUUGAAAUGGACAUUUUCCACACCAAAAAAUUGCCUUGACUAAAUGACUCAGAAUUCAAGCUAAUUUGGUUGGAGACAAGUGAUUCUCGUUUACUGUGUAAUAUAUCUCACCUGUGGUAAGUUGCAAGUGCCUGCAGGUAAAAAUAAUCAUUCAAACAGUUUCGAAAAGAGAAAACAGAACAUUCCAUUGCAAAGUGCAAGGGUGCCAAUAUAUUUGACCGCAACUAUAUAUUUACACAGAGCCAGUAAGCACAUUAGACAAGCUGCUUGCUGAGUCUCUGUCCACUUCUAGAAUAAUGCUGAUAGUGAGAACAUACUGUAUGCUAUGGAUAUGACUGUGACCUCUGCUCUGUCUGUCUCCACGGGGUCACUGGACUGUCUGGGUUAGGGUGUGUGAGUUUGUGCAUGUGUGUGUGUGUUAGUGUGUGUGUCAUUGUGUGUUAGUGUGUGUGCGUGUGUGUUAGUGUGUGUGUGUGUGUGUGUGUGUGUGUGUGUGUGUGUGUGUGUGUGUGUGUGUGUGUGUGUGUGUGUGUGUGUCUGUCAGUGUGUGGACUACCUGUAAAGGGCUGUACUCCCAGGUCUCUGGCCCAUGUAUAGCAGUACAGAGUCGUUGCCAUGGCAAUAGUAGACGCUAUCGGUUGCCGGGCAGCCAUCAAGAUUGACCAUAAUGGAGCGGCGGGCAGACUAACGUCAGACACAUCCGGUACACCACCGGGACCACUCUGAACGGUUACACCCCUCACACACCCUUCAAGACCUGCCCAGGAGAGGAGAGAUGGUGUCGCCCAUCUUCCCCAUUAUCCCCUGUGUAUUUAUACCUGUGUUUUCUGUUUGUCUUUUGCCAGUUUGUCUUGUUUGUCAAGCCUACCAGCGUUCGUCCUGUCAGCUCCUGUCUUUUUCCCUGCCUCUCUUUUUCUCGUCCUCCUGGUUUUUGACCCUUGCCUGUCCUGACCUUGUACCCGCCCGCCUGACCACUCUGCCCGUCCCUGAGCCUGCCUGCCGUCCGGUACCUUUGCCCCACCUCUGGAUUAUUGACCUCUGCCUACCCUGACCCUGAGCCUGCCUGGCGUCCGGUACCUUUGCUCCACCUUCGGAUUACUGAACUCUGCCUGUCCGUGACCCUGAGCCUGCCUGCCGUCCUGUACCUUUGCUCCACCUCUGGGUUACUGAACUCUGCCUACCCUGACCCUGAGCCUGCCUGUAGUCUGGUACCUUUUCUCCACCUCUGGAUUACUGAACUCUGCCUGUCCCUGUCAGUGACCCUGCCUGCCUUGACCUGUCAUUGCC
This 2437-nucleotide long non-coding RNA is filed under the name Salmo salar (Atlantic salmon). Its description in RNAcentral is "lncRNA (ENSSSAG00000120813.1)". Lineage: Eukaryota; Metazoa; Chordata; Actinopteri; Salmoniformes; Salmonidae. The record is from RNAcentral.